This 45-nucleotide non-coding RNA is filed under the name Schistosoma margrebowiei. Lineage: Eukaryota; Metazoa; Platyhelminthes; Trematoda; Strigeidida; Schistosomatidae. The record is from RNAcentral.
AUCAAGCUGACGAGUCCCGAAUAAGACGAAAUGCGUGUCCUGGAU